UACGGGGGGGGCGAGCGUUGUUCGGAAUUACUGGGCGUAAAGGGCGCGUAGGCGGUUUGCUAAGUUAGAUGUGAAAACUCUGGGCUCAACCCAGAGCCUGCAUCUAAAACUGGCAGGCUAGAGUUCUGGAGGGGGUAGCGGAAUUCCUGGUGUAGCGGUGAAAUGCGUAGAUAUCAGGAGGAACACCGGUGGCGAAGGCGGAUCUCUGGGCCGACACUGACGCUGAGGAGCGAAAGCGUGGGGAGCGAACAGG
RNAcentral lists this ribosomal RNA (253 nucleotides) under uncultured bacterium. RNAcentral describes it as "partial 16S ribosomal RNA". It matches the Rfam family "Bacterial small subunit ribosomal RNA", at positions 524 to 776 of the family's 1533-position model. The record is from RNAcentral.